UUAGUUAUUUAACUAGGCCAUAAAUAUAGGAUCAUUUAUUAGGUGUGUUUUAUAUAAGGGAAAUAUGAAAGAGUAUACGUAGAAGAUUGAAAAAUUAAUAAGUAUCUAACUUUAAAAAAAAAAAUUAAUUCUCUCUUAUACCUACCUAAAUUGGACGAAAAUCUAUACUAUUAAUUGGGAAGUACAACUUGAAGCCAAACACCCCUAAUUUAAAAAAAAAUUUCAUGAAAAUAAAAACAAUUGCCAAACAGAAUUAAUGACAGCAAAAAAAACAAAAACUAAC
This 283-nucleotide long non-coding RNA is filed under the name Capsella rubella. RNAcentral describes it as "long non-coding RNA (CRUB_LNC001679)". Lineage: Eukaryota; Viridiplantae; Streptophyta; Magnoliopsida; Brassicales; Brassicaceae. The record is from RNAcentral.